AGCAGAGUGGCGCUGUGGAAGCGUGCUGGACCCAUAACCGAGAGGGCAGUACAUCAAAACCACUCUCUGUUA
Potamilus streckersoni is the source of this 72-nucleotide non-coding RNA. Lineage: Eukaryota; Metazoa; Mollusca; Bivalvia; Unionida; Unionidae. The record is from the annotation of a GenBank genome assembly.